Petromyzon marinus (sea lamprey) is the source of this 242-nucleotide non-coding RNA. Lineage: Eukaryota; Metazoa; Chordata; Hyperoartia; Petromyzontiformes; Petromyzontidae. The record is from RefSeq and is a predicted model, not a curated record.
GCACAACACAGGUGGACGAUAACAAGAAGCUUGGCGAGUGGUCGGGGCUCUGCAAGAUCGACCGCGAGGGGAAACCACGCAAGGUGGUCGGAUACAGCUGCGUGGUCGUGAAGGACUACGGCAAGGAGACGCAAGCCAAGGACGUGCUGGAGGAGUACUUCAAGGGCAAGUGAAGCUCUUCCUGCUCCUCUUGCAUCGUCCCUACGAUCGCGAUGGAACAAUAAAAGUGUCACUCAACCUGC